GACGAACGCUGGCGGCGUGCUUAACACAUGCAAGUCGAACGGUAAGGCCCCAGCUUGCUGGGGUACACGAGUGGCGAACGGGUGAGUAACACGUGGGUGACCUGCCCCGCACUUCGGGAUAAGCCUGGGAAACUGGGUCUAAUACCGGAUAGGACCGCACCGUGAGGGUGUGGUGGAAAGUUUUUCGGUGUGGGAUGGGCCCGCGGCCUAUCAGCUUGUUGGUGGGGUAAUGGCCUACCAAGGCGGCGACGGGUAGCCGGCCUGAGAGGGUGGACGGCCACAUUGGGACUGAGACACGGCCCAGACUCCUACGGGAGGCAGCAGUGGGGAAUAUUGCACAAUGGGCGGAAGCCUGAUGCAGCGACGCCGCGUGGGGGAUGACGGCCUUCGGGUUGUAAACUGCUUUCGCCAUCGACGAAGGUUUUCUGACGGUAGAUGGAGAAGAAGCACCGGCUAACUACGUG
Molecule: ribosomal RNA, 464 nt
Filed under: uncultured bacterium
Lineage: Bacteria
Description: partial 16S ribosomal RNA
Rfam family: Bacterial small subunit ribosomal RNA
Source: RNAcentral